GAUGAACGCUGGCGGCGUGCUUAACACAUGCAAGUCGAACGGGAUCCAUCGGGCUUUGCUUGGUGGUGAGAGUGGCGAACGGGUGAGUAAUGCGUGACCGACCUGCCCCAUGCUCCGGAAUAGCUCCUGGAAACGGGUGGUAAUGCCGGAUGUUCCACAUGAUCGCAUGUGAUUGUGGGAAAGAUUCUAUCGGCGUGGGAUGGGGUCGCGUCCUAUCAGCUUGUUGGUGAGGUAACGGCUCACCAAGGCUUCGACGGGUAGCCGGCCUGAGAGGGCGACCGGCCACAUUGGGACUGAGAUACGGCCCAGACUCCUACGGGAGGCAGCAGUGGGGAAUAUUGCACAAUGGGCGCAAGCCUGAUGCAGCGACGCCGCGUGAGGGAUGGAGGCCUUCGGGUUGUAAACCUCUUUUGUUUGGGAGCAAGCCUUCGGGUGAGUGUACCUUUCGAAUAAG
This 454-nucleotide ribosomal RNA is filed under the name uncultured bacterium. RNAcentral's name for it is "bacterial SSU rRNA". It matches the Rfam family "Bacterial small subunit ribosomal RNA", at positions 28 to 490 of the family's 1533-position model. The record is from RNAcentral.